RNAcentral lists this long non-coding RNA (1975 nucleotides) under Paramuricea clavata. Lineage: Eukaryota; Metazoa; Cnidaria; Anthozoa; Malacalcyonacea; Plexauridae. The record is from RNAcentral.
UAGGCUUAGGGUAAGUUUACGGUAGCCUUAGGGUAGGCUUAGGGUAGGCUUAGGGGAGGCUUAGGGUAGACCUUAGGUAGGCUUAGGCAAGACUUCCCAAGGCGGGGGUGGCGGGGGCUGAGCAUGCGUGGUUUUCGUGGGCGGGGGGUGACGUCAUAGUCAAGGGCGGGUCUGGGCAAGCCUGAUUGUGAGCCAAGGGUGACGUCAUCGGAGGGGUGGGAGUGGUGUGCAGUUGUGGUUAAUUGAUUUUGAACAAAAUUAUCCCUUAUUAUCCCUCAUUAUCCUAGGGAGGCAAAAUUAUCCCUCAUUAUCCCUAAUUAUCCUUCUGUUCAAGAACCCGCCAUUCUCCACUACUAUCUUAAUAUUAAUUUUUCUUUUAUGUGUUAGUUUUGGCAUUCAUGAUGUUAGUUUUCCAUUUGUGAUUUUAGUUUUGGCAUUUUGAUCUUAGUUUUUCUUUUAUGAUGGUAGUUUUGGCAUUUAUGACGUCAGUUUUCCUUUUAUGGUUUUAGUUUUGGCAUUUAUGAUGUUAGUUUUCCUUUUAUGCUGCUAGUUUUGGUAUUAUGAUCUUAGUUUUUGUUUUAUGAUUUUAGUUUUGGCAUUUAUGAUGUUAGCUUAAUUUCCUUUUAUGAUUUUAGUUUUGGCAUUUAAGUUGUUAGUUUUCCUUUUAUGAUAUUAGUUUUGGUAUUUGAUCUUAGGUUUUCUUUUAUGAUGUUAGUUUUGGCAUUUAUGACGUUAGUUUUUAUUUUAUGAUUUUAGAUUUGGCAAUUAUGAUGUUAGCUUAAUUUCCUUUUGUGAUUUUAGUUUUGGCAUUUAUGAUGUUAGUUUUUCUUUUAUGAUGUUAGUUUUGGUAUAUGAUCUUAGUUUUUCUUUUAUUAUGUUAGUUUUGGCAUUUAUGAUGUUAGUUUUCCAUUUGUGAUUUUAGUUUUCGCAUUAUGAACUUAGUUUUUCUGUUAUGAUUUUAGUUUUGGAAUUUAUGAUGUUAGUUUUCCUUUUAUGAUGUUAGUUUUCCUUUUAUGGUUUUAGUUUUGGCAUUUAUGAUGUUAGUUUUCCUUUAUGCUGUUAGUUUUGGUAUUAUGAUCUUAGUUUUUCUUUUAUGAUUUUAGUUUUGGCAUUUAUGAUGUUAGUUUUCCUUUUAUGAUGUUAGUUUUGGUAUUAUGAUCUUAGUUUUUCUUUUAUGAUGUUAGUUUUGGCAUUUAUGAUGUUAGUUUUCCUUUUAUGAUUAUUAGUUUUGGUGUUAUGAUCUUAGUUAUUCUUUUAUGAUGUUGGUUUUGGCGUUUAUGAUGUUAGUUUUUCUUUUAUGAUUUUAGUUUUGGCAGUUAUGAUGUUAGUUAGCUUAAUUUCCUUUUAUGAUUUUAGUUUUGGCAUUUAUGAUGUUAGUUUUCUAUUUAUGUCGCUAGUUUUGGUAUUAUAAUCUUAGUUUUUGUUUUAUGAUGUUAGUUUUGGCAUUUAUGAUGUUAGUUUUUCUUUUAUGAUUUUAGUUUUGGUAUUAUGAUCUUAGUUUUUCUUUUAUGAUGUUAGUUUUGGCAUUUAUGAUGUUAGUUUUCCAUUUGUGAUUUUAGUUUUGGCAUUAUGAUCUUAGUUUUUCUUUUAUGAUGGUAGUUUUGGCAUUUAUGACGUUAGUUUUCCUUUUAUGGUUUUAGUUUUGUUCAAUCCCUUGGUGUCCUUCAAUUCGUGAAGGUUGUCUAAUGUUUUCUUUUGUUGUUGGGUGGAGACGACAGUUCUUCCGUUCAUAAGUAAGAUAGAGUUCUCUCCAACAAGGCAUGUAGAGGUUAUGACGAAUGGAUCAAAAGGGGCGUGCUUCUUCUUCGACUUCAUUUGGCAUUUUAGGCCAAACAAAUUGGACAUAAUGGAUGACUUUCAAGAGUGUAUCAUCAGCUUGUUGAUGGUGGAAAAACUCCUGAAGCUGACUGGCAGUAGUGGACUUGUCAACAAAGUGAACAUUCAUAGUUCAUCUUCAAGAGAAGGUUCAUCAACU